Molecule: ribosomal RNA, 1522 nt
Filed under: Escherichia coli
Lineage: Bacteria; Pseudomonadati; Pseudomonadota; Gammaproteobacteria; Enterobacterales; Enterobacteriaceae
Also listed under: 6 other names
Description: bacterial SSU rRNA
Rfam family: Bacterial small subunit ribosomal RNA
Source: RNAcentral
AGAGUUUGAUCAUGGCUCAGAUUGAACGCUGGCGGCAGGCCUAACACAUGCAAGUCGAACGGUAACAGGAAGCAGCUUGCUGCUUUGCUGACGAGUGGCGGACGGGUGAGUAAUGUCUGGGAAACUGCCUGAUGGAGGGGGAUAACUACUGGAAACGGUAGCUAAUACCGCAUAACGUCGCAAGACCAAAGAGGGGGACCUUAGGGCCUCUUGCCAUCGGAUGUGCCCAGAUGGGAUUAGCUAGUAGGUGGGGUAACGGCUCACCUAGGCGACGAUCCCUAGCUGGUCUGAGAGGAUGACCAGCCACACUGGAACUGAGACACGGUCCAGACUCCUACGGGAGGCAGCAGUGGGGAAUAUUGCACAAUGGGCGCAAGCCUGAUGCAGCCAUGCCGCGUGUAUGAAGAAGGCCUUCGGGUUGUAAAGUACUUUCAGCGGGGAGGAAGGGAGUAAAGUUAAUACCUUUGCUCAUUGACGUUACCCGCAGAAGAAGCACCGGCUAACUCCGUGCCAGCAGCCGCGGUAAUACGGAGGGUGCAAGCGUUAAUCGGAAUUACUGGGCGUAAAGCGCACGCAGGCGGUUUGUUAAGUCAGAUGUGAAAUCCCCGGGCUCAACCUGGGAACUGCAUCUGAUACUGGCAAGCUUGAGUCUCGUAGAGGGGGGUAGAAUUCCAGGUGUAGCGGUGAAAUGCGUAGAGAUCUGGAGGAAUACCGGUGGCGAAGGCGGCCCCCUGGACGAAGACUGACGCUCAGGUGCGAAAGCGUGGGGAGCAAACAGGAUUAGAUACCCUGGUAGUCCACGCCGUAAACGAUGUCGACUUGGAGGUUGUGCCCUUGAGGCGUGGCUUCCGGAGCUAACGCGUUAAGUCGACCGCCUGGGGAGUACGGCCGCAAGGUUAAAACUCAAAUGAAUUGACGGGGGCCCGCACAAGCGGUGGAGCAUGUGGUUUAAUUCGAUGCAACGCGAAGAACCUUACCUGGUCUUGACAUCCACGGAAGUUUUCAGAGAUGAGAAUGUGCCUUCGGGAACCGUGAGACAGGUGCUGCAUGGCUGUCGUCAGCUCGUGUUGUGAAAUGUUGGGUUAAGUCCCGCAACGAGCGCAACCCUUAUCCUUUGUUGCCAGCGGUCCGGCCGGGAACUCAAAGGAGACUGCCAGUGAUAAACUGGAGGAAGGUGGGGAUGACGUCAAGUCAUCAUGGCCCUUACGACCAGGGCUACACACGUGCUACAAUGGCGCAUACAAAGAGAAGCGACCUCGCGAGAGCAAGCGGACCUCAUAAAGUGCGUCGUAGUCCGGAUUGGAGUCUGCAACUCGACUCCAUGAAGUCGGAAUCGCUAGUAAUCGUGGAUCAGAAUGCCACGGUGAAUACGUUCCCGGGCCUUGUACACACCGCCCGUCACACCAUGGGAGUGGGUUGCAAAAGAAGUAGGUAGCUUAACCUUCGGGAGGGCGCUUACCACUUUGUGAUUCAUGACUGGGGUGAAGUCGUAACAAGGUAACCGUAGGGGAACCUGCGGUUG